This 253-nucleotide ribosomal RNA is filed under the name uncultured bacterium. RNAcentral's name for it is "partial 16S ribosomal RNA". It matches the Rfam family "Bacterial small subunit ribosomal RNA", at positions 524 to 776 of the family's 1533-position model. The record is from RNAcentral.
UACGAAGGGGGCUAGCGUUGCUCGGAAUUACUGGGCGUAAAGCGCACGUAGGCGGCUCUUUAAGUCAGGGGUGAAAUCCUGGAGCUCAACUCCAGAACUGCCUUUGAUACUGAGGACCUUGAGUUCGGGAGAGGUGAGUGGAACUGCGAGUGUAGAGGUGAAAUUCGUAGAUAUUCGCAAGAACACCAGUGGCGAAGGCGGCUCACUGGCCCGAUACUGACGCUGAGGUGCGAAAGCGUGGGGAGCAAACAGG